CAAAGAGAUUGGAGGAUUUAAUUGGAUUGGAUAUAUCAUAUGAGGAUGGGACUGAGACGAAGUAUUCUUCUAAAACUGACUUGGGUUUUUGAGGCAACAAAUCAUACAAGCAACAAAAGGUUAACUUAAACAAGAAAUGAUUUUAAAAGGUAAAUCACGUUGGAUGUAAUUGGGAAUCGCACUGGGUUGACCAGAUUCGUCUAAUACUAACAUCGCAUUAUAAAAGAGUACUUAAAAAAGCUGGAACAAUAUUAUAUGAAACAGUGAAAAUAUCGGCAAAUUUUCAUUCUGACAAACCAUAUAUCAUAAGACUAAUGGCUGCGAAUAAAUGAGCAUUAGUGCAUCCAACCCCACUCUAUUUUUCGCUUAAAAAUAAAAUUUAAAGUAAAAAUAUUCUAAUAAUACUAUAUUUUUUAUUCUAUAAUAGACUGAAAUUAAAUUUAUUCCAACUACAAAGUAACUUGUUUUUAUUUAUUCAUCGCCCUAUUUUUUAUUUUGAAAUAGAGUACUGUUGAAACAAACUCAAAUUCUAUUAUAGAAUUACUUUAUUUUAAAAUAAAAAAUA
RNAcentral lists this long non-coding RNA (565 nucleotides) under Brassica napus (rape). RNAcentral describes it as "long non-coding RNA (BNAP_LNC024314)". The record is from RNAcentral. Lineage: Eukaryota; Viridiplantae; Streptophyta; Magnoliopsida; Brassicales; Brassicaceae.